CUGCUGUGAUGAGACUCAGAACUUGUUGAAAGUUUGACACCUUGAUGAAACCGUCAACAGUAAUGUUGACCCUGAGCGGUUACCUGAGCAG
This is a non-coding RNA of Solanum tuberosum (potato), 91 nucleotides long. The record is from Rfam. Lineage: Eukaryota; Viridiplantae; Streptophyta; Magnoliopsida; Solanales; Solanaceae.